GGCUUUGUUUGCGCAGGAUAGGUGGGAGGCGUUGAAGAUUUUCUUGCGGGGAAGUUGGAGCCGUUGGUGAGAUACCACUCUAACAAUGCUAGGAUUCUAACCCUAUACCGUUAUCCGGUUAGGGGACAGUUUCAGGUGGUCAGUUUGACUGGGGCGGUCGCCUCCCAAAAGGUAACGGAGGCGUGCAAAGGUUUCCUCGGGCCGGUCGGAAAUCGGUCGUAGAGUGUAAAGGCAUAAGGAAGCUUGAUUGUGAGACCUACAAGUCAACAAAGACGAAAGUCGGCCUUAGUGAUCCGACGGUUCCGAGUGGAAGGGCCGUCGCUCAACGGAUAAAAGUUACUCUAGGGAUAACA
Molecule: ribosomal RNA, 353 nt
Filed under: uncultured eukaryote
Lineage: Eukaryota
Description: LSU rRNA
Rfam family: Bacterial large subunit ribosomal RNA
Source: RNAcentral